RNAcentral lists this ribosomal RNA (497 nucleotides) under uncultured bacterium. RNAcentral describes it as "partial 16S ribosomal RNA". It matches the Rfam family "Bacterial small subunit ribosomal RNA", at positions 28 to 507 of the family's 1533-position model. The record is from RNAcentral.
GAUGAACGCUGGCGGCGUGCCUAAUACAUGCAAGUCGAGCGAACAGAUGAGGAGCUUGCUCCUCUGACGUUAGCGGCGGACGGGUGAGUAACACGUGGAUAACCUACCUAUAAGACUGGGAUAACUUCGGGAAACCGGAGCUAAUACCGGAUAAUAUAUUGAACCGCAUGGUUCAAUAGUGAAAGACGGUUUUGCUGUCACUUAUAGAUGGAUCCGCGCCGCAUUAGCUAGUUGGUAAGGUAACGGCUUACCAAGGCAACGAUGCGUAGCCGACCUGAGAGGGUGAUCGGCCACACUGGAACUGAGACACGGUCCAGACUCCUACGGGAGGCAGCAGUAGGGAAUCUUCCGCAAAGGGCGAAAGCCUGACGGAGCAACGCCGCGUGAGUGAUGAAGGUCUUCGGAUCGUAGAACUCUGUUAUUAGGGAAGAACAAAUGUGUAAGUAACUAUGCACGUCUUGACGGUACCUAAUCAGAAAGCCACGGCUAACUACGUG